This 482-nucleotide ribosomal RNA is filed under the name uncultured bacterium. Its description in RNAcentral is "partial 16S ribosomal RNA". It matches the Rfam family "Bacterial small subunit ribosomal RNA", at positions 30 to 507 of the family's 1533-position model. The record is from RNAcentral.
AUUGAACGCUGGCGGCAUGCUUUACACAUGCAAGUCGAACGGUAACAGGCCGCAAGGUGCUGACGAGUGGCGAACGGGUGAGUAAUGCAUCGGAACGUGCCCAGUCGUGGGGGAUAACUACUCGAAAGAGUAGCUAAUACCGCAUACGAUCUAUGGAUGAAAGCGGGGGACCGUAAGGCCUCGCGCGAUUGGAGCGGCCGAUGUCAGAUUAGGUAGUUGGUGGGGUAAAGGCUCACCAAGCCAACGAUCUGUAGCUGGUCUGAGAGGACAACCAGCCACACUGGGACUGAGACACGGCCCAGACUCCUACGGGAGGCAGCAGUGGGGAAUUUUGGACAAUGGGCGCAAGCCUGAUCCAGCAAUGCCGCGUGCAGGAAGAAGGCCUUCGGGUUGUAAACUGCUUUUGUACGGAACGAAACGGCUCUGGUUAAUACCCGGGGCUAAUGACGGUACCGUAAGAAUAAGCACCGGCUAACUACGUA